UCCUUACAGGUUACAGGCCUCUCCUCCCACACCUUAACCUGAAGAGUAAUUUAAAUUUGUAGCUUUAAGAGCAAGAGUUAGCAAGCUAGCAAAAAUGCUUGCUGUAAUGAAGAGCCGAAAGAUCAAGGACAAGGGCCAAAACAUCAGGGGCACUGUGGUGUUGAUGCCCAAAAAUGUGUUGGACUUCAACGCCAUCGCGUCGGUCACUAAUGGGGGUCUUCUGGGCAUUGCGGGGAGAUCCUUUAGCCUCGCCAAUGACUUGGCCGGCCAUGCAUAUGACAGUGCCACCGCCAUCCUCAGCCGUGACAUCGCCAUACAGUUGAUCAGUGCUACCAAGACUGAUGCAAAUGGAAAUGGGAAACUUGGAAAGGAAACAUAUGUGCUGAAACGUCUUCCGACAUUACCAACCUUGGGAGCAAAGCAGGAAGCAUACAAGGUUAAAUUUGACUAUGAUCCUGAUUUUGGAAUCCCAGGAGCAUUUUACAUCAGAAACAAAAUGCAAGCUGAGUUCUUCCUUGUCAGUCUCACCCUCGAAGACAUUCCCAAUCAGGGAACAAUUCGCUUUGAUUGCAACUCCUGGGUUUACAACCAUAAAUUAUACAAAAACAGGCAUCGCAUUUUCUUCACCAAUCAUACAUAUGUUGUUGGUCAAACACCAGUAGGACUUGUUAAGUACAGAGAAGAAGAGUUGGAGAAUUUAAGAGGAGAUGGAACAGGGGAACGCAAAUUGCAUGAAAGGGUCUAUGAUUAUGAUGUUUAUAAUGAUUUGGGGAAUCCAGAUUCUAGUGCCGCUUUGGCUCGCCCAACAAUUGGAGGCUCUACCACCCAUCCUUACCCUCGCAGGGUCAGAACCGGUAGAAAACCAUGCAAGAAAGAUUCUGCCUGUGAGAAGCCUGCUGUGGACAUAUAUGUCCCAAGAGAUGAAAAUUUUGGUCACUUGAAAUCAUCAGAUUUCCUUACAUAUGGACUGAAAUCUUUAUCUCAGAACGUAUUGCCAUUGUUUAAAUCUGCGAUUUUUGAUUUAAACUUCACGCCAAAUGAAUUUGAUAGCUUCGAAGAAGUGCGUCGACUUUAUGAAGGUGGAGUUAAGCUCCCUACAAAUGUACUCAGCCAAAUUAGCCCUUUACCGGUCCUUAAGGAAAUCUUCCGCACAGAUGGUGAAAAUGUCCUCCAAUUUCCGAAACCUCAUGUAAUCAGAGUUAGUAAGUCUGCAUGGAUGACUGAUGUUGAAUUUGGAAGAGAUGAUUGCUGGUGUAAAUCCUGGUAUAAUUUGUUUGCUCCAAGAGUUCCCACCAAAAAGCAAGCUAGAUGCUACGGUUUAUGGUGAUCAAAAUAGUACAUUAACAAAAGAACACUUGGAGAUCAACCUGGGUGGACUCACAGUAGAUGAGGCACUUGGUGCUAAGAGGUUAUUCAUACUAGAUUACCAUGAUGCAUUCAUGCCAUUUUUGGAGAAGAUAAACAAAAUUGCAAAGGCUUAUGCAACAAGGACAAUCCUAUUUUUGAAAGAUGAUGGUGCUUUAACACCACUUGCCAUCGAAUUGAGUCUGCCACAUCCAAACGGAGUUCAAUAUGGUGCUGAAAGCAAAGUCAUCUUACCUGCCAACGAAGAUGCUGAAGGAACAAUUUGGCUACUGGCCAAGGCUCAUGUUAUUGUGAAUGACUCGAGCUAUCAUCAAGUCAUGAGCCAUUGGUUAAAUACUCAUGCAGUGAUGGAGCCAUUCGUCAUAGCAACAAACAGACAUCUCAGUGUCCUUCACCCUAUUAAUAAACUCUUAUAUCCUCACUACCGUGACACAAUAAAUAUCAAUGGACUUGCUCGGCAAGCCUUAGUUAACGCAGAUGGCAUUAUAGAAAAAUCAUUUUUGCCAGGACAAUAUUCUAUGGAGAUGUCAUCUGCAGUUUACAAGGAUUGGGUUUUCACUGACCAAGCUUUACCAGCUGAUCUUAUUAAGAGAGGAAUGGCAAUUGAGGAUCCCUCUGCCCCCUAUGGUCUUCGCCUUGUUGUAGAGGACUACCCUUUUGCUGUUGACGGACUUGAGAUAUGGGAUGCUAUUAAGACAUGGGUUCUAGACUAUGUGUCCUUAUAUUACUCGACAGAUGAUGAAAUCCAGAAAGACACUGAACUACAAGAUUGGUGGAAAGAUGUUGUACAGAAGGGUCAUGCUGACUUGAAAGACAAGGCAUGGUGGCCUAAGAUUCAAACUCUUGAUGAGUUGGUUGAGUCGUGCUCUACUAUCAUAUGGAUUGCUUCAGCUCUUCAUGCAGCUGUUAAUUUUGGACAAUAUCCUUAUGGAGGUUAUAUCCUGAACCGCCCAACACUGAGCAGGAGAUUGAUUCCGGAAAAAGGAACUCCAGAAUAUGAUGAGAUGGUGAAAAAUCCUCAAAAGGCUUAUUUAAGAACAAUCACACCAAAGUUCCAGGCCCUUCGAGAUCUUUCGGUGAUAGAGAUAUUGUCUAGGCAUGCUUCUGAUGAGGUCUACCUUGGACAGAGGGACAAUCCAAAUUGGACAUCUGAUACAAGGGCAUUACAAGCCUUCCAGAAGUUUGGAAGCAAGCUGCAAGAAAUUGAAGGGAAAAUCACAGAAAGGAACAAAGAUUCAAGUUUGAAAAACCGAAUUGGGCCAGUUGAACUGCCUUACACUUUGCUCCUUCCUUCUAGUGAGGAAGGAUUAACUUUCAGAGGAAUUCCAAACAGUAUCUCUAUUUAAAAUAGUGCGUGGUUUCCUUAUCUAGUGUAUUUCCUCAUAAAGAGGCGAUGCUUCUCUGUGUAUUCAUAUUUGCUGCAUAUUUGAAUCGUUAGGUUAUAACUUAUAAGUGUGCUUUGGCUGUAAGUUUGUAUGAUGUUAUGUUCACUAGUAUAUUUAAGGUGAUUGUGGCUAUUUUCUUA
Molecule: RNA transcript, 2890 nt
Organism: Lotus japonicus
Lineage: Eukaryota; Viridiplantae; Streptophyta; Magnoliopsida; Fabales; Fabaceae
Gene name: seed linoleate 9S-lipoxygenase-like
Exons: 9
Source: RefSeq, a predicted model, not a curated record